GACGAACGCUGGCGGCGUGCUUAACACAUGCAAGUCGAGCGGUAAGGCCCUUUCGGGGGUACGACGAGCGGCGAACGGGUGAGUAACACGUGGGUGACCUGCCCUCAGCUCUGGGAUAAGCCUGGGAAACCGGGUCUAAUACCGGAUAUGACUCCAUGACGCAUGUUGUGGGGUGGAAAGCCUUGUGCGGCUGAGGAUGGGCCCGCGGCCUAUCAGCUUGUUGGUGGGGUGAUGGCCUACCAAGGCGACGACGGGUAGCCGGCCUGAGAGGGCGACCGGCCACACUGGGACUGAGACACGGCCCAGACUCCUACGGGAGGCAGCAGUGGGGAAUCUUGCGCAAUGGGCGAAAGCCUGACGCAGCGACGCCGCGU
This 374-nucleotide ribosomal RNA is filed under the name uncultured bacterium. RNAcentral describes it as "bacterial SSU rRNA". It matches the Rfam family "Bacterial small subunit ribosomal RNA", at positions 28 to 402 of the family's 1533-position model. The record is from RNAcentral.